GUGGGGAAUCUUGCGCAAUGGGCGAAAGCCUGACGCAGCCAUGCCGCGUGGAUGAUGAAGGUCUUAGGAUUGUAAAAUCCUUUCACCGGUGAAGAUAAUGACUGUAGCCGGAGAAGAAGCCCCGGCUAACUACGUGCCAGCAGCCGCGGUAAUACGUAGGGGGCGAGCGUUGUCCGGAAUUACUGGGCGUAAAGGGUGCGUAGGUGGCCUUUUAAGUUGGAUGUGAAAUACCCGGGCUUAACUUGGGGGGUGCAUCUAAUACUGGGGGGCUAGAGUGCAGGAGAGGGAAGCGGAAUUCCUAGUGUAGCGGUGAAAUGCGUAGAUAUUAGGAGGAACACCAGUGGCGAAGGCGGCUUUCUGGACUGUAACUGACACUGAGGCACGAAAGCGUGGGGAGCAAACAGGAUUAGAUACCCCGGUAGUCC
RNAcentral lists this ribosomal RNA (425 nucleotides) under uncultured bacterium. Its description in RNAcentral is "partial 16S ribosomal RNA". It matches the Rfam family "Bacterial small subunit ribosomal RNA", at positions 354 to 796 of the family's 1533-position model. The record is from RNAcentral.